This is a long non-coding RNA of Cyprinus carpio (common carp), 879 nucleotides long. RefSeq lists it as uncharacterized. The record is from RefSeq and is a predicted model, not a curated record. The transcript is spliced from 2 exons. Lineage: Eukaryota; Metazoa; Chordata; Actinopteri; Cypriniformes; Cyprinidae.
AUUUCUUUAGAAAGUUCAAAAUCAGCACACAGCUAGAGAUUGAUAGAGACAUAUAGGAUUUAAAGUCAAAGUGAAUCAUGUCUAUUGUAAAUUAGAUUAAUAAACUCUUCAACUGAUUAUGAAAAUAACUAAAUUAUUUUUCAGUUAAUAACAAACAUUUUGAAAAUACUUUGUCUUUGUUAUUACUUUUUGAAAAGUAUUUUUUAAACUGAAUGUCUGAGUGUUGAAGUGUUUCUCUCUCUGCUGGAGUUUGUGUUCACUCGAGUGGAAUAGAGGUUUUUGUACGAGUGUUUCAUGAGAUUGUAUCACUGUGUUACACAUUCGGUGGAGGAACUAAACUGGUGCUCGCUGGUCCCACAGUGAAGCCCUCAGUGUCUCUGCUGCCGCCCUCUUCUCUGCAGAUCUCUGGAGACUCAGCCGCACUGCUCUGCCUGCUCAGCUCUUACUCUCCACAGGGGGCGCUGGUGAGCUGGACACUGGACGGCUCAGAGGUCACCGAGGGGGUUGUGACCAGCGCAGAGAGCGAGCAGGACGGCGGCUACAGCCGCAGUAGUGUCCUGACCCUCAGCAAAGCACGCUGGGAAGCGGGAGAGCUGUACGUCUGCAGAGUAACACAUGAUGGAGCUCCUCAUGAGGCCUCGUUCCACAAGAGUCGCUGUUAGUCGCUCGCAGUGCUGAUGUUUCUCCAGUGAGCGCUGCUCUCUCCUGAAGAUGAGCGUAUCUGAGUGUCCUGUGUCAGGCAGGAUUCACAUGAGUCUAGUGCUGCAACUGUAGUCAUUUACAAACUCAAUACUGAAAGAGAGCUCUAGUGUCAAAGCACUGGCUGAUCUUUCAAUCUGCUGUGUUUGCUGCAACAUUCAAUAAAGCUUCUCAACAAAC